ACGGAGGAUCCGAGCGUUAUCCGGAUUUACUGGGUUUAAAGGGUGCGUAGGCGGGCCCCUCAGUCAGCGGUGAAAGUCUGCGGCUCAACCGUAGGAUUGCCGUUGAUACUGGGGGCCUUGGAUUCGGUCGAGGCGGGCGGAAUGCGUGGUGUAGCGGUGAAAGGCGUAGAUAUUAGGAGGAACGCCGAUGGCGAAGGCGGCUGGCCGGGCCGAUAUCGACGCUGAGGCACGAAAGCGUGGGGAGCGAACAG
Molecule: ribosomal RNA, 251 nt
Filed under: uncultured prokaryote
Description: partial 16S rRNA
Rfam family: Bacterial small subunit ribosomal RNA
Source: RNAcentral